GGGGAAUAUUGCACAAUGGGGGAAACCCUGAUGCAGCGACGCCGCGUGAGUGAAGAAGUAUUUCGGUAUGUAAAGCUCUAUCAGCAGGGAAGAAAAUGACGGUACCUGACUAAGAAGCCCCGGCUAACUACGUGCCAGCAGCCGCGGGAAUACGUACGGGGCAAGCGUUAUCCGGAUUUACUGGGUGUAAAGGGAGCGUAGGUGGUUCGGUAAGUCAGAUGUGAAAGCCCGGGGCUCAACCCCGGGACUGCAUUUGAAACUAUCGGACUAGAGUGCAGGAGAGGUAAGUGGAAUUCCUAGUGUAGCGGUGAAAUGCGUAGAUAUUAGGAGGAACACCAGUGGCGAAGGCGGCUUACUGGACUGUAACUGACACUGAGGCUCGAAAGCGUGGGGAGCAAAC
Molecule: ribosomal RNA, 400 nt
Filed under: uncultured bacterium
Lineage: Bacteria
Description: bacterial SSU rRNA
Rfam family: Bacterial small subunit ribosomal RNA
Source: RNAcentral